RNAcentral lists this ribosomal RNA (414 nucleotides) under uncultured bacterium. Its description in RNAcentral is "bacterial SSU rRNA". It matches the Rfam family "Bacterial small subunit ribosomal RNA", at positions 30 to 425 of the family's 1533-position model. The record is from RNAcentral.
AGCGAACGCUGGCGGCGUACCUAACACAUGCAAGUCGAACGAGGAUCAUAGGGUUAGCAAUAACUCUGUGGCUCUAGUGGCGCACGGGUGAGUAACACGUGGGUAACCUGCCCUUGAGACUGGGAUACCCCCUCGAAAGGGGGGACGUAAUACCGGAUACGUUCCUCGGAUCGAAAGGUUUGAGGAGGAAAGGUGGCGAAAGCUGCCGCUCUUGGAGGGGCUCGCGGCCUAUCAGCUAGNGGCGGGGUAACGGCCCACCAAGGCUAUGACGGGUAGCUGGUCUGAGAGGACGACCAGCCACACGGGGACUGAGACACGGCCCCGACUCCUACGGGAGGCAGCAGUGGGGAAUUUUCCGCAAUGGGCGAAAGCCUGACGGAGUGACGCCGCGUGUGGGACGAAGGCCUUCGGUCG